GUUAGGCUGAGACGCUGAAAGUCCGGAUUUAAAGUGCGAAAAUUAAGCCAUUGAAUCUGCCUGUCCAUGACGUACAAAGACACACUAUGAGCCAGUAUGAUCCGACCAGACCUUACAUCAGCAUUGAGGAGUUCAGGAGUUGUCGGAGAAGAAAGAGGCUGAUUGAAGCGGGACAGAUGACAUGGAUCCAUCCUUCCACAGCCAGGAGCGCACCGACCUGUGUCCCACACUUCAUAUAAGACUGGAAGCUACACUGGAUCUCACAGCUACACACCACAGACGUCUACACACUGGGGCAGAUUCAGACAGAGUCCCACAAAGA
Molecule: long non-coding RNA, 322 nt
Organism: Limanda limanda (common dab)
Lineage: Eukaryota; Metazoa; Chordata; Actinopteri; Pleuronectiformes; Pleuronectidae
Exons: 3
Source: RefSeq, a predicted model, not a curated record